Molecule: ribosomal RNA, 769 nt
Filed under: Escherichia coli
Lineage: Bacteria; Pseudomonadati; Pseudomonadota; Gammaproteobacteria; Enterobacterales; Enterobacteriaceae
Description: partial 23S ribosomal RNA
Rfam family: Bacterial large subunit ribosomal RNA
Source: RNAcentral
AUAAUGGGUCAGCGACUUAUAUUCUGUAGCAAGGUUAACCGAAUAGGGGAGCCGAAGGGAAACCGAGUCUUAACUGGGCGUUAAGUUGCAGGGUAUAGACCCGAAACCCGGUGAUCUAGCCAUGGGCAGGUUGAAGGUUGGGUAACACUAACUGGAGGACCGAACCGACUAAUGUUGAAAAAUUAGCGGAUGACUUGUGGCUGGGGGUGAAAGGCCAAUCAAACCGGGAGAUAGCUGGUUCUCCCCGAAAGCUAUUUAGGUAGCGCCUCGUGAAUUCAUCUCCGGGGGUAGAGCACUGUUUCGGCAAGGGGGUCAUCCCGACUUACCAACCCGAUGCAAACUGCGAAUACCGGAGAAUGUUAUCACGGGAGACACACGGCGGGUGCUAACGUCCGUCGUGAAGAGGGAAACAACCCAGACCGCCAGCUAAGGUCCCAAAGUCAUGGUUAAGUGGGAAACGAUGUGGGAAGGCCCAGACAGCCAGGAUGUUGGCUUAGAAGCAGCCAUCAUUUAAAGAAAGCGUAAUAGCUCACUGGUCGAGUCGGCCUGCGCGGAAGAUGUAACGGGGCUAAACCAUGCACCGAAGCUGCGGCAGCGACGCUGAUGCGUUGUUGGGUAGGGGAGCGUUCUGUAAGCCUGCGAAGGUGUGCUGUGAGGCAUGCUGGAGGUAUCAGAAGUGCGAAUGCUGACAUAAGUAACGAUAAAGCGGGUGAAAAGCCCGCUCGCCGGAAGACCAAGGGUUCCUGUCCAACGUUAAUCGGGGCAGGGU